CCUGAUGCAGCGAUGCCGCGUGCGGGAAGAAGGCCUUAGGGUUGUAAACCGCUUUCAGGAGGGAAGAAAAUGACGGUACCUCCAGAAGAAGGUGCGGCCAACUACGUGCCAGCAGCCGCGGUGACACGUAGGCACCAAGCGUUAUCCGGAUUUAUUGGGCGUAAAGAGCUCGUAGGCGGUUUGGUAAGUCGGGUGUGAAAACUCUGGGCUCAACCCAGAGAGGCCACUCGAUACUGCUAUGACUAGAGUACGGUAGGGGAGCGGGGAAUUCCUGGUGUAGCGGUGAAAUGCGCAGAUAUCAGGAGGAACACCAGCGGCGAAGGCGCCGCUCUGGGCCGUAACUGACGCUGAGGAGCGAAAGCAUGGGUAGCAAACAGGAUUAGAUACCCUGGUAGUCCAUGCCGUAAACGUUGGGCACUAGGUGUGGGUCUCAACCAACGAGAUCCGCGCCGUCGCUAACGCAUUAAGUGCCCCGCCUGGGGAGUACGG
RNAcentral lists this ribosomal RNA (489 nucleotides) under uncultured Actinomycetes bacterium. Its description in RNAcentral is "bacterial SSU rRNA". It matches the Rfam family "Bacterial small subunit ribosomal RNA", at positions 382 to 885 of the family's 1533-position model. Lineage: Bacteria; Bacillati; Actinomycetota; Actinomycetes. The record is from RNAcentral.